This 504-nucleotide ribosomal RNA is filed under the name uncultured bacterium. RNAcentral's name for it is "partial 16S ribosomal RNA". It matches the Rfam family "Bacterial small subunit ribosomal RNA", at positions 30 to 523 of the family's 1533-position model. The record is from RNAcentral.
AUUGAACGCUGGCGGCAGGCCUAACACAUGCAAGUCGAGCGGUAGCACAGAGAGCUUGCUCUCGGGUGACGAGCGGCGGACGGCUGGGUAAUGUCUGGGAAACUGCCUGAUGGAGGGGGAUAACUACUGGAAACGGUAGCUAAUACCGCAUAACGUCGCAAGACCAAAGAGGGGGAACUUCGGGCCUCUUGCCAUCAGAUGUGCCCAGACGGGAUUAGCUAGUAGGUGGGGUAACGGCUCACCUAGGCGACGAUCCCUAGCUGGUCUGAGAGGAUGACCAGCCACACUGGAACUGAGACACGGUCCAGACUCCUACGGGAGGCAGCAGUGGGGAAUAUUGCACAAUGGGCGCAAGCCUGAUGCAGCCAUGCCGCGUGUAUGAAGAAGGCCUUCGGGUUGUAAAGUACUUUCAGCGGGGAGGAAGGUGCUGAGGUUAAUAACCUCAGCAAUUGACGUUACCCGCAGAAGAAGCACCGGCUAACUCCGUGCCAGCAGCCGCCGUAA